This 496-nucleotide ribosomal RNA is filed under the name uncultured bacterium. Its description in RNAcentral is "partial 16S ribosomal RNA". It matches the Rfam family "Bacterial small subunit ribosomal RNA", at positions 28 to 506 of the family's 1533-position model. The record is from RNAcentral.
GAUGAACGCUGGCGGCGUGCCUAAUACAUGCAAGUCGAGCGAACGGACGAUAAGCUUGCUUCUCUGAUGUUAGCGGCGGACGGGUGAGUAACACGUGGAUCACCUACCUAUAAGACGGGGAUAACUUCGGGAAACCGUAUCUAAUACCAGAUAAUAUUUUGAACCGCAUGGUUCAAAAGUGAAAGACGGCCUUGCGGUCACUUAUAGAUGGAUCCGCGCUGCAUUAGCUAGUUGGUAAGGUAACGGCUUACCAAGGCAACGAUGCAUAGCCGACCUGAGGGGGUGAUCGGCCACACUGGAACUGAGACACGGUCCAGACUCUUACGGAGGGCAGCAGUAGGUAAUCUUCCGCAAUGGGCGAAAGCCUGACGGAGCAACGCAGCGUGGGUGAUGAAGGUCUUCGGAUCGUAAAACGCUGUUAUUAGGGAAGAACAUAUGUGUAAGUAACUGUGCACAUCUUGAGGGAACCUAAUCAGAAAGCCCCGGUUAACUACGU